ACGGGUGAGUAACGCGUGGGAAUCUACCUAGUUCUACGGAACAACACAGGGAAACUUGUGCUAAUACCGUAUACGCCCUACGGGGGAAAGAUUUAUCGGAAUUAGAUGAGCCCGCGUAAGAUUAGCUAGUUGGUGGGGUAAUGGCCUACCAAGGCGACGAUCUUUAGCUGGUCUGAGAGGAUGAUCAGCCACACUGGGACUGAGACACGGCCCAGACUCCUACGGGAGGCAGCAGUGGGGAAUAUUGGACAAUGGGCGCAAGCCUGAUCCAGCCAUGCCGCGUGAGUGAUGAAGGCCUUAGGGUUGUAAAGCUCUUUCAGUGGGGACGAUAAUGACGGUACCCACAGAAGAAGCCCCGGCUAACUUCGUGCCAGCAGCCGCGGUAAUACGAAGGGGGCUAGCGUUGUUCGGAUUUACUGGGCGUAAAGCGCACGUAGGCGGAUCGUUAAGUCGGGGGUGAAAUCCUGGAGCUCAACUCCAGAACUGCCUUCGAUACUGGCGAUCUUGAGUCCGGAAGAGGUGAGUGGAACUCCUAGUGUAGAGGUGGAAUUCGUAGA
Molecule: ribosomal RNA, 557 nt
Filed under: Rhizobiales bacterium RDB-051
Lineage: Bacteria; Pseudomonadati; Pseudomonadota; Alphaproteobacteria; Hyphomicrobiales
Also listed under: 27 other names
Description: bacterial SSU rRNA
Rfam family: Bacterial small subunit ribosomal RNA
Source: RNAcentral